Molecule: ribosomal RNA, 394 nt
Filed under: uncultured bacterium
Lineage: Bacteria
Description: bacterial SSU rRNA
Rfam family: Bacterial small subunit ribosomal RNA
Source: RNAcentral
GGACGAACGCUGGCGGCGUGCCUAACACAUGCAAGUCAGGGAGAAGGAGGUAGCAAUACUUCCGGAAACCGGCGCACGGGUGAGUAACACGUAGGUAACCUACCCUUGAGCGGGGGAACAACAUCGAGAAAUCGGUGCUAAUACCGCAUAAUGCAACGAGACCGCAUGGUUUUGUUGUUAAAGAUCCGCAAGGAUCACUUGAGGAUGGACCUGCGCCCGAUUAGCUAGUUGGCGGAGUAAAGCCCACCAAGGCAACGAUCGGUAGCCGACCUGAGAGGGUGAUCGGCCACACUGGAACUGAGAUACGGUCCAGACUCCUACGGGAGGCAGCAGUGAGGAAUAUUGUCAAUGGCGAAAGGCUGAACCAGCAACGCCGCGUGAGGGACGAAGAAUC